This 29-nucleotide small RNA is filed under the name Bombyx mori (domestic silkworm). RNAcentral's name for it is "ovarian small RNA-32470". The record is from RNAcentral. Lineage: Eukaryota; Metazoa; Arthropoda; Insecta; Lepidoptera; Bombycidae.
UGAUAGUCAGCGGUGAGCGCCUCCGCUUC